AACGAACGCUGGCGGCAUGCCUAACACAUGCAAGUCGAACGAGAUCUUCGGGUCUAGUGGCGCACGGGUGCGUAACGCGUGAGAAUCUGCCCUUUGGUUCGGAAUAACAGUUGGAAACGACUGCUAAUACCGGAUGAUGACGAAAGUCCAAAGAUUUAUCGCCAGAGGAUGAGCCCGCGUAGGAUUAGCUAGUUGGUGUGGUAAAGGCGCACCAAGGCGACGAUCCUUAGCUGGUCUGAGAGGAUGAUCAGCCACACUGGGACUGAGACACGGCCCAGACGCCUACGGGAGGCAGCAGUGGGGAAUAUUGGACAAUGGGCGAAAGCCUGAUCCAGCAAUGCCGCGUGAGUGAUGAGGGCCUUAGGGUUGUAAAGCUCUUUUACCCGGGAUGAUAAUGACAGUACCGGGAGAAUAAGCUCCGGCUAACUCCGUGCCAGCCGCCGCCGUAA
RNAcentral lists this ribosomal RNA (449 nucleotides) under uncultured bacterium. RNAcentral's name for it is "partial 16S ribosomal RNA". It matches the Rfam family "Bacterial small subunit ribosomal RNA", at positions 29 to 523 of the family's 1533-position model. The record is from RNAcentral.